Molecule: non-coding RNA, 4133 nt
Organism: Rattus norvegicus (Norway rat)
Lineage: Eukaryota; Metazoa; Chordata; Mammalia; Rodentia; Muridae
Source: RefSeq, a predicted model, not a curated record
UAAUUAAUUGCCCCUCCCUCCACCCCACACCCUCUCAUACAUGCAUCCCCCUGCCAGUCUUGUAAGUUGGAACAGUCCAAAAGCAAAAGUCGCGAGAUUUUCAACGAGACUUUGCCCUCCCACGUCCUUUUCCUUUUUUUGGGUGCUGUCGCAGGUGCAAGGCAAGUGGUCUUCUGUCUCUCUCGCCCUUGUUUUGCAGACUGGUCUUAUAAUAGGGCCAGCAAAGCCCCUAAGGCACUCAGCCACCAUGAAUCCCGAUGAUUCCACUAGUGGGUUCCGGCAUGCCAAGGUGGUAAUGUUCAUCAAUGAGCAAAUGUCCAAGAACUCCAAAGGCCCCGAGUUCUACCUUGAGAACCUGUCCCUGUCCUGGGAGGUGGUGGAAGAAAAGCUCAAAGUCCUCCUGGAGAGUAGCGAGGUACCUCGCGAAGUUCAGGAAGCCUGUGCCUGGGGCAGUCUGGCCUUGGGUAUUCGCUUUGCUUUUAAACAAGCCCAGUUGCAGGGGCGCAGAGUGCAGUGGCUGCAUGACUUCGCCAGCCUGCACAGGUCGGCAGCACAAGGCUUGACAUCAGAUCUGAAGAAGCUCACCGAGCAGCAAGAAAUGGAACGCAAGGAGGCAGCCUACCAGCUCCAGUUGGCCCACACCAAACUAGCAGAGGUGCAGAGAGAUCGCGACUUGAUGAGACUGAAGCUACUACAUGCAGAGCUGAGGGCUGUUCCCGUUGCACAGAUGCCAAUCAUGACUAGUGCCCCUGCUGUUGCUGUUUCUCCUGCUGCUGCUGUUGCUGCCGCCGCAGCUGCGGCUGCGGCUGCGGCUGUAGCCGCGGCCGCGGCUGCGGCUACAGGGGCACAGACAGGGCCAGAGAUACAAAAUGCAGGAGAGAAAGAAGCGGUGACAGCUAGUCGUACGGCAGAGUGUAUACCAGAAAAGGAGAUGGAUGGGGUUAUAGCCAUGGCUGCCCCUAGGGCAUCCACAGUAGCACUGGAAGGAAGCACCCCGGAGCAGCUUUCGCCUGUGGAAAAGAAAACUUAUCCCCUGGAAGUGGAGGGGCAGGAGGAGGGGGGAGGCAAAUCUAUGGAAACACCCAAAAGUUCUGCCUCUAAGCAAAUGGGUCUCAGGUCCUCAGCCUCCGCACAACCGGUUAAUAUCCAACUCCCUGUCUCCUUUACAUAUUCAUAUGAAAGCCCCUUCCCAGUCACACCCACCCCAUCCCCACCACCAAGCACAGUCACAGAACCUCAGAUGCCGCCCUACUUCAUGGCCACUGACAUGAAUAUGUCCGAAACCGAGGGCCCAACUGUGUACCUCCAAGAUCCCCCUAAAGACAGUUAUGAGAGCAGACCCUUGCAGCAGAGAAAAACAUUUUGCAUACCUGGGGAUUGGGAUUGCCCUUGGUGUAAAUCUGUGAAUCUUUCGAAGAAGGAUUCUUGCUUCCGUUGUGGGAGGCAAGGCUGGCUAUCCAACUCUCAGUGAGGUUUUUUUUUUUUUAAAGUAGUACAGAAUAGAAAUCUCCCAAAUGGGAAGUUAAUUUUCAGAGGUAGGAAAAGGAAAAUGGGAGGGGGGUUCAUGGGAAUGGGAGGGAAGUAAUGGGAUAGGUACAGUUGGUAUGGGAGGGGCAAGUUUUGAUAAUUUCUUUUGUAUUCCAGAUUGUUUGCAUUCGAUACCCUUGAACUGCUUCAAUGCGGGGGGGGGGGUGUUUGGGUGUGCAUAUGUAUACCCCUCCUGGUACAGCUAAAUAUGCAAUACCCCACCCUUUUCACAAACCUAGACUUUAAAAGAUAGAGCUAUAGUGGUUAUUCAACCCAUUCUGAGACAAAAAAUUUCAGGCUGGUGGACCUAAACAGAGAAUCAGCUGACUGAUAGAGUCAGUGGAUCACUGGAAGCAGCCCAUUCCUGGUCCUGGCUAAGGUAGGGAACAGAAUCGGCUGUUUUCCAGACAUUUUUAGACUAAUCCUAGUAGGAGACUCCAGGGAGCUGACAGACACAAGGAGACACAAAGGAAUUGAUCAACUGGCUUCAGAGAACUCAGCUACGUUUUAUACCUCUGCAGCUGUGUUACAUAAAGUUCCCUUUUUACCUAGGCCACUUCUUUGUAAUUUCAGAAGUUUUGAGCAACUAGAUCAUUCUCAUAUCAGCUAACUUUUCUUUUAUAUCUUGAUUUUUUUAUUUUUUUUAAACAAGGGCUCAUAUGGCCCAGAUUGGCCUCAAAUUCAUCAUGUGGCUGUUGCCAGAUCCUCCUGCCUCCACUCCCUAAGUGUUGGAAUUGACAGGGGAGUUGAACAAGUGGAGAGCAAACAGUGGCGACUCCUUUCUGCCAAGGCCCCGAGAAUAAACUGGAUAGGACACUUAGGUUCAGUGGGAUUCUAUUGGCAGAAAUAGCUCAAACCUAGGGUGACUGUUCCCAUGAGUGAACGGCAUAGGAGGCUUGAAAUUUGACAGAGUAAUAUCACAAGAAAUUAAAUGAGACCUGGGAUAAAUUAACCUCAGGUUUAUGGUUGACUCAAAUUAACAUGACAGAAAUUUGCCACCCCUAUGAGAAUCCUGAGAGACUACAGAGGAUGCCAGCACCAGGUACAAGCAAGGACGUCCACGAGUAUCCAGCCUCUUAACAGGACUCUUCCCCAGCCCCAGUGGGCAGAACAGAUCUGAACAGGAAACUUAUGCCAGCUGCUCCAAGUCCUCAGGUAGAAGGAAGAAGGACUGUAUCUGGACUGGACUGAGACACAAGUGGAAGAGCCCCGACUAUCUCCCAGAGACUAUGAACCUGGAGAACGUGAAGCUGUUGUGGCCCAUGGGACACCUGUAGGAGCAGAAAUGUGACUUUGGAUUGUCUGUCAUUGGUGAGGGUACAGUUACCUCCAGGAUUGCAGACUAGAUCCCUAGCCUGCAAUUUUGUGAACACCCUUUGUGCUUGGUUAUCUCCAUCUACUGCAGGGCUUCCUACCCUCACUUCGCGUGACAUCUGGAUUUGGAGAGUUCUUUGCUGUGGCAUAGGAGGUCCUGUGUACUGUAGGGAGUUCAGCAGAUUCCUAACCUCUACCCACAAUAUCUCUGUCUGUGUGACCCACUCCUACCCCUUCAGUUGUGACAAUCAAAACUGAAAACUGCCGCUGCAUACUGCCACGUGUCCACUAGGGGGCAAAAACAACCAGAGUUGGGAACAACUGAGUUGACAGUUGAAGGGUUUAGCAGUGCUGAUAAAGUACACUAUCAUAGAGGCUGAAGCUGGCUAAAAAAGGUUCAUCAGGUCUAGUGUUUACUUUGGAAAACUCAGGGUGGUAGAAAAGUAGAAACCAAACUGCCAGGGCUGAGGAGUGAGGGGGACCUCUACCCUCUGCAACACUGGUUUCGACCUUUAAUGUUUCAAGUGGUGGUGACCCCCAACCAUAAAAUUAUUUUCAUUGGCAGUUCAUAACUACAAUUUUCCUACUAUGAUAAAUUAUAAUGUAAAAUGUCUGUAUCUUCCAAAGGUGACCCCUGUGAAAGGGUUUUUGACCUCCAUAUAGGUCACAACCCACAGGUUGAGAACAACUGCUUUACAAGGACUCUAGGCUUCGAAGGGAAGGGAGUAAAGGGAGAGCCAUUUUUAAGAAAGGGUUAUUCUGUCAGCCAACAUUCUUGGCAAAAUAUAUUGGAUACAAUUUCUAACUAGCAUCUAAACUCUGAUAAAGGCAGUACGAGUUAAGGUUAGUAACUUUUGGAGCAAUUUCCUCGAAGAUAAAACAAUCCAGCCUGCAGGAAAGCUCCUGAAGACUUAUUAGGAGAAACUUGAGCCAUUGAAGGAGAUAUACAGAGAAAGCUUUAAAUGGGAGAAAAAGAGGAAAAUAGUCUUGUAUAAGGCGUAGGAGGAAUAGCCAAUGGUAAUAGAAGAAAAACAACACUAUGAAAGGGACCAUUGUUUCAUGUAUAUGUAUGUUAUAUGUAAAUAUGUUACAAAUUUGUGUCUACAAAGUUUGUAUUUCAGUAAGCAUUGAAAAGAUAUGGAAAAGACAUUUAGAAAAGAAAAUAGGCAGGAAACAGAAGGCAGUGUGGUAUCAAGGUAUAGAAUAGAAUACAGGAAAGUUUUUUCUUUAUGUACUUCUGUGUUUUGAAAGUAAUAAGGUGUUCACAAAAUAAAAGUUUUUUACCCGCUUUA